CACCGCCGGGCAUCUACGCCCCACAACGACACGACUUUACCAUGGACACAAGAGGUACCGCCAUAGCAACGGUCAAUAAACACGUACCUACCAUAGAUACUAUAAAAAUACUCUCAUACAAUGUCAGGGGACUAAAUUCUCCUGAAAAGAGGAAUAUGGCACUGAGGGACUUUCAAAGAAUACAAGCCGAUGUUGUUUUCGUGCAGGAGACGCACUUUAAAGGACCCACGGCACCAAAACUCACCAAUAGACACUACCCCCACGCGUAUUACAACAAUUUCACACAUAGCAAAUCCCGCGGGGUUGCCAUUCUGAUAGGGGCCAAGAUACCAUUUGUGUACAGCCAGCAUUUCGCGGAUGAUUCAGGCCGCUAUGUUAUACUACAGGGACAGAUUAGCAACUACCCGGUGACCCUGGUCAAUCUAUACCUUCCAAACACACGACAAUGUCACACCCUCCGUAAAAUCUUAAACAAGGUUCAACAACUUACAACAGGGACCUUAAUUAUAGGGGGAGACUUCAACGUAUCUCUAGAUGCUCAAAAAGAUAGCACGG
Molecule: non-coding RNA, 555 nt
Organism: Pelobates cultripes (western spadefoot toad)
Lineage: Eukaryota; Metazoa; Chordata; Amphibia; Anura; Pelobatidae
Source: the annotation of a GenBank genome assembly